RNAcentral lists this ribosomal RNA (211 nucleotides) under uncultured bacterium. RNAcentral describes it as "partial 16S ribosomal RNA". It matches the Rfam family "Bacterial small subunit ribosomal RNA", at positions 354 to 582 of the family's 1533-position model. The record is from RNAcentral.
UGGGGGGAUAUUGCACAAUGGAGGAAACUCUGAUGCAGCAACGCCGCGUGAAGGAUGAAGGUCUUCGGAUUGUAAACUUUUGUACUUGGGGACGAUAAUGACGGUACCCAAGCAGCAAGCUCCGGCUAACUACGUGCCAGCAGCCGCGGUAAUACGUAGGGAGCAAGCGUUGUCCGGAUUUACUGGGUGUAAAGGGUGCGUAGGCGGCUAU